AUCUGCCAUGUUGAAUGAGGUAAA
This 24-nucleotide non-coding RNA is filed under the name Gossypium hirsutum (cotton). Lineage: Eukaryota; Viridiplantae; Streptophyta; Magnoliopsida; Malvales; Malvaceae. The record is from RNAcentral.